Molecule: long non-coding RNA, 1921 nt
Organism: Chroicocephalus ridibundus (black-headed gull)
Lineage: Eukaryota; Metazoa; Chordata; Aves; Charadriiformes; Laridae
Exons: 3
Source: RefSeq, a predicted model, not a curated record
GCGGCGGCGGCGGCGCUGUAGAUGGAGCCUGAAGAUGAACAGGAGGCUGAGGCCACCUGGACGGCACAAGCACCUUUUGUGAAUGUAGACUCUACUAAUGUCAAACCAGAUGCCAAACAAGAAGUGACAGCCUGUUCAUGGGUGCGGAAGGCAGGGAGGCGCUGUAAAGAGUGCUUCUCGCGGAGAAUAUCCUGUGGGCUAUGUGUAUCUUUGGGAUUUCUGCCGGUGGUGGUGACCAUUGUGUUUGGUAAGUUUUUGGAACAUUUUCCAUUUGAGAUAUAUCUCCUCUGACUACUGGGCUCCAGGAUCACAGCAGUCAAGCACAACAACAUUAGUACUGCACAGUCAAAAAACCUGGGACUUCCAUUACUACUUCAGUUGUUUUGAUGUCAGUCUAAGGUUGAAUAACGUCCAGGCAGAAUUUAAAAGGAAACAGAAUUCUCCCCAUGGAUAAAAAUCCAGAUGAUGCAGCUGUAAACUUUUUUUUUUCUUUUUGCUGCAUCCUUACUACUCUUAAGAGUGUAGCUUCUUGCCUGGCCAUCCAUAUGGUGUAUGCAUGUCUGGUCUUUGCUUAUCACCAGUAACUCACUUGAUUAUACCUUAGUGCACAAAGUCAGCAUCGCAUCUCCCGGCAUAGACUCCAGGCUUACUGUGUGGGCUGCUUGUAUAUCUGGUCUCGAGGGCUUCUUUAUUGUCACACGUGGAAGGCAACUACGUAAUACAGCCAGCUUAUCUUUUCACAAAUGUGGGAGUCAUUCUGUCUUUCAUUUUUUAAAAAUUCUUUUGUGUAUUUUUAAGUAGAAGUCAGGCCUACCUCCCACUGGCACAGUGGAGGCCAGAUGUGCUCCCACUGUCCCAUGCAGAACUCUUCUAUGGGAUCAAAGGCUGUGCUGCCUGCAGCAUUACCUGAGGUAUCCAAGUCACUGGUUACCUGUGAAUCUCAGUGGAGCCUCCGCAGCCCCGUCUGCACAGGGAGCUCUCGAAUCUCUGCAUUAAGUAUAUCUUCAGUCUGCCCCCUGCAACAACAUGAGGUAUAGUAGUGCAGUCCUCUGCACAUAUGUGGAAAUGAAUGGAAGAUGAUAGUGACAUCUGUCCCUGUUGAUUUUCCUUUGCUUUGUUAGGCUUUUAUUUAAAUGGAAUCAGUCACAUUUUCUUGGAGGGGGUGAAGGCAGCACUCACAGGUGACUUGCUAAGGGGUCUCCAAUUUGUAUAUAGCAAAGAGAGUAGCUGAUUAGAAAGGCAAAGAGCAAGUGUGAUGACAGCAGGAUGCAGAGUCUGGGAGAUCAAUUCACUUCCUGCAAGGCCCUCUACUUACAUAACGGACAGGUACUUUCACUUCAAUAUUAUCCAUCUGCAAGCUUAAGCAGUGGAAGAAUGCUUAAGCCUGGGUGCUUUGGGUGCUGCAAAAGGUCUGGAUUCGAUCCCAGCAGGAUGACCCAGGAAAUACACUUUAUACACUGGGUGAGCCCGGCUGUGUUACAACAGACACCGUGCUGCGCAGAAAAGGUCACUGUAACCAUUCAGUAACGAUCAGGGCAGAUUGUUUUUGUUUGGAAAAUAGAAAUAAAGGGAAAUGCAAAUGAGUUCACUUCAUUGCAUGAAAUUAAACUCUGAAAUGAAACAUGCUAGUGAAUCCUAUCAUCCUCACAGAGCUACUGUGACAGAAAGAAGUUGAAGAGAGGGCAUCAAAAUGUGCUAGGGAACAACUCCAAAGAACCAUUGUCCAAACCAUUAUCUCCAAAUAAUAAUACUUUUUACCUCUUCAUUAACAGACAAAUUUCAUUAGCAUCCUAUCAACACCUAAUUUACCUGCCUUCACACAUAUUUAUCAAACAGUUAGAGGUCUGAUAGAAGAUCAAAGUAACUUGUCUUCAUGAAAUACCUCACCAGUUGUAGAUAUUCAAUUAUUCAUUACUGAAAA